AUUCAAUUCUAUCAAGAGUCGUAAGAAAAAAUUUGGGUCAUGAUCUUGCAACAUGACACUUUUCACUGGCAAAAUGGAAAAAGCUUUCAAACAUUCAAGUUUGGAUGAGUGUCUUCCUAGACCCAGAUAACCUAGAACGGAGCUCCCUCACAGAUUUAUCUUCGCGUCUCAGAGCCAUUGUUUACGUCUCGGACGGGGUUCGUAAAUUCCCGUUUUAAAGUGCCCUGGAAACUGUCUGCACCCACAAUUUCGACGCUCGUAUCUCUGUUCUUUAAGAUAAUGCUCGCUUGCUUUUCUUCUACAGUAGUCUUUGAUAGGGAAAACACCUUUGUCUCUGUGGAUGAAUUUGCUUACAAGAGCAAGGUGUAUAGAAUGUUUUCAAGGGGUUUGAUAAUUUUUACUAAUUUCACGCAAUCAGAAAUUGGAAUUUCAAGCAGUAUAUAAAUAACAAAGUUAUCUCUGGAAUACGGUGGACCGACUUUAUAAACUUUGAUGCUAGGAGGUCAAGAAUGACCACCCCUAUUUCAAAAAUUGGACAAGAAACUUCGCCAUCGCAGCUGCAACGAUCAAAGUUACCACACCAUAUCUGUAAAAACUUUGAUUAAUUUCACCCGGAAGCAACAUUUCAUCUAAGUAUUAGAGUGUAGAUUUUAUACGAAAUAGCUCCUGGAUAAACUACGGGAGCAAUUUUUAUCAAAAACUUUAAUUAACUUGUGUCACAUGAAGAUCAGCCCCCUCGAAAGUUCAAUUUCACGAGGAGAAAUUUCUAACUAAACUCUUCUCUAUAUUUCAAAAGAACGAAUAUAAAAAAAAACUGCAUUUUAUCCUAAUUAUAGAAAGGAUUCGUACUUAAACCCUUCGCUCUUCGAAGGAAGCAAAGAUCACUAUCUCAACUCUUUCUCCUGAAAAAAGAACAAAGAAGAAGAAGAAGAACGAGCUCAUUUUCUCGUUUCCAUUGCACCAGGAACCAUCGUCGAGGGGUCUGAAUUUCAGAACGCAGCUGGUCGAACCAGGAAUCGGCCAUGUUUGGGCGAAGAGGGAAAGAAAGGGAUAGAAAGCCGAUCGAAGGAAAGGAAGUAGGGUUCUCCGUCGAUCCGAGUAUCACGAUUCAACGAGGCUCGAUGCUCUUCCCUGUGGAAGGGAUGACGGGUCUAGAAUGUCGAACCGUUUUGGAGGUAGGGUGCUUCGAAAACCACCCCCUCCGGCUACCGAGAAUAAUCCAGAGUAUAAAUUGGAUUGUCGGUGGAACGUGGAAACUGAACGUGGCAGAAGGGGAUCGAAUGGUGCUUGCAAAUAGAGAAGAGAAAGGUAACACUGUGAACUGGAGCGCACACGGAUAUAGUCGACACCUUUCAACACAUGGAAAUCAGGCUUCAUGAACGUACCACGUGGAUACGUGCCAAAGGGGAACCUCCAUCCUUCGUGAUUUUCGCUGCUGGCUCGUCGCGACGAUUGCCAGGGAGGAAACUAACGUCGAAUUAUGCUCGCGUGCCUGCUCGCUCGAUUACGCUCGUGUUAUCGCGCUACCUUUUGCUAUCUAACUAAUUUCACGUCCACCGAUUUCUCUACUCGCAUCGUCGCUUUAAAGUAUCCACGUUGAUUGCAAAAUUCCAAAUAUUUUCCAGCCUUCAAUUUGAUUUCAAAGUCGACCAUAUAUGUGAACUUGAAGUGUUUUAGUUAAUAUUUAUAAAUGUUACAGAAAUUUUCAAGAGAUUCCGUGAUAAGUUAUUGACAAUUGUAGCCCUGGCUACAGAAAGAGGAUAACACCAAGAUGAAAGCAAGUGGAAGGAAAAUGAAGGAAACAGAGAACUCGUCGCGAAAAUGGAAGGGGUUAAUCUCCGACGAUGAUCUGUUUGGUCUUGAUCCGACAUGCAAUUUAGAAGGUUCCAAGCCGUGACCGCUACAUCUCGUUACUGCAAAGUAAACUCUGAUAAAUUGUUCGGGGGAGUUGUUUACAAGGUGCUCGCCAGAUUCCCAGUUUCUUCUCAUCACGGCACGUCACGUCGCGCAGAAAUAUAAGGUCUGACAAUUUCGCCAAGCAGUUCGACGUUAAAACUGAAGCCUUGUACCCUACGAAAGUCAAGAGGAACGACGAUACUUCUUCCCUCCAGCAAGCUUAAUUUUCUCUCCGCGUCGACGUGUUCCACGUUCGCUUAUUUCCAGUGCGACCGUUCGGUCGCACCUGCACCUGCGGCGAAAAAUCGUCGACGAAGGGCCAGAGGAAGGGUGGAGGGACGAUUCCCAUGGAAGACGUAGGUGGAGUCGAGUAGAUUAUCUCGCCAGACAGCGAAAUGGCAAAGUUCUCGGUCGAAGGUGUGUGUCGACGGGCGAAAACGAAGACGAACGAAACGAACCAUUGAAAGAGGGAGCGAGACGAGGUUACGUAGAGGGUGAAAGAGGAGGAAGAGAAAGCUUUUUAGGCUUUUCCUCGGAACAGUGCAGACGCAGCUGUGUGGAAACUGCAAUGACACGCCCCUCGCCUCAAUCCCUCCUCUCCGUACCGUCAUCUUCCUCGUCUUCCACCCUCGAGCUGGUCAGGGGGUAGGUUCUCCGCGAGCUUGGGCUACCGAGCCAGCAGGGUCGAUUCGAACCCUCACCAGCAGUUCUACCCAGUGGUGGGGAAUGAAACAUACACAGGAAUCUCUUUGUGUGCGUUCGACGUCGAUGUUGCUCUGCAUGGUGUGCAGUUGUUCCUCCGGGUCAGACUGGUCUGCUUUCGAACGCCCGCGAGCUGUAUGGAGUGUUGAGAAAGUAUACACCCACGACGAAUCAUGGGUCAAACUUUGCGUUUAACCUUUGCCUUUUAACAUUUAAUACACGUUUACUAUACAUCCUUUCAACUCAAUGAUAUCUGGAUUUCUUGAAGGGAUUUCUUCCCUUCCGAGUCUGUAACAGUGUGGGUCUGAUAUAAAUCCUUAUAAUUGAGAUAGAAGCAGAGAAUCAACUCCGUAAACCAUGAUCAUUGUUUUCACGACACCCUGUGCAAGCUCACGCUUCGAGUUUGUUCGUAUCGGUGAAGCUACAUCUCCGUGGUGACGGUGGAUGCUGGGCUGUGAUGGUGGUUGGCUUGAACGUGUCCUCUUUGCCCCUCUGUCCCGGUUGCUCCGCAGCAACACGCACAGAUCGAUACGCGGCUGCUAGGUACACCUAUUCCAGGAUUCUAGCCGGGUGCGAGAGUGGUCUGGCUGCAGGAUGGAGGAUUUUCAAGCCGGGCGAUUCCUGCAAUCGCGCCUCUUCCUUCGAUUGCGAGAGCCGACCAGCCGAUACGCUGAAGAAAGGCGAUCAUUUGGAAAGGCCAGCUGCCGCGCGACGAAAUUACAUCGGCGAAUUUCGCGCGGAAACGCUUGCCCACUAUCGCUGGAAACGUUCCAGCUUCCUUUCGGAUAUUCGUUUUUCUUCUUUCUUUCUCCACUCGUCGCGUCGAUGUUUAUUGGGCCAUCCAGUUGCAGUGCAUUUGAAAUGGUAUUGAGUCUGAUAAAGAAGAAUCUUUAUUGGGUUAUUUAAUUUCAAUGUUCAUGAAGUCUUCUGUCAGGUACAACUCUUGAAGUUGAUACACUUGUUCGUAUGUUCAUUCUCAGUUAAUAAACGGAUCGCUAAUUAUGCCAACGUACCAUAAUUAUGAUAAUAUGACGUUCAUCAGACCGAUUCGCGAUGUUCUCAGCAACAAUAAUUAACCGAAUAUACAACGUUAUCAUACUCCACUUUUAUGUUCGGUACCGAAACAUGUCCACGACGAAGUUGAACAGCCGUUCAAUUAAAUCGCGCGACACCGAUCGUCAGAUCUCUUCAAGAUUUUUUAUGGCUCGCGUAAAAACGAUCGAACCACUGUGCAAGCAAUUCGCUAAUCUAACCGGUGGUCAACAGAAAGAAACCACGAUAAUCAUGCUCCAUUUGCGAGACAUCGGCGACACAGCUUAUCUGUACACCGAAAAAUGGCCAAGCGUCUUCGUUAAGCACGAUCGGCUUGGUCAGAUAAGCUCUUCCUUUUUAUGACUCGGCCGUGUUCGCGCGAUCAGCCAUCGAAUCGACCAGCUCCUCCUACCUUUAGGGUCUCCUCCGCCCUUCAUCCUGUUCCGCUGUCGGCGAACUGAAAGUCGGAAGAACGUAUUCGCUUCCACAGGAAGCGAUGUUUUUUUUUUUUUUGUCUUAUUCCAUAGUCCAUCAAAUUCCAUUUUCCAAAUAACUAAUGGAGAAAUAGAAUAUCUACUCAAACAUCCAACUAUUUUCUAUUGAUUUCAUUACAGCAUUCCUAUAAAAGACUUCGUAAGGCGGCAACAUUUCAAACGUGUCGCGUUAACGAGGCAGAAAGUCGGCUUCUCCAUCGCGAGAGUAAAUAAAGCAAGUAAAUAAAGAAGGAUUUUUAUUCACGGCAAAUUGCAGGCUAUCCCGAUAAAUGUACGGUCCAUUUCGAAAGCAGCUACGGGUAAAAAGGAAUCAUGUCAAAGAAAGAAAGAAGACAGAGAAAAAAGGAAGGAACAGUGGAAUCUGCGUUUAAUCCAUGACCAGAUAACGGUCUCGAUUGGAUCCUACUUUCCAAUCGUGCCACUCUUAACGAGCAACUAUUUUUCGAUCGCUAAUGAUUUUCGAACAUAAUAAAUGUGUUACUAUUCCCCCGAAGAUAAUUAUAAUAAUGGGAAGAACAAAGUCGAAUCAGUGUUCCUUGGAAAAUAUGUAAUUUUUUGUGAACAAGGUUGAUUUUGAAGGUAAUCAUACAUUUGAUUGCACACCUCUGACUAUAUAAUCCCAAAGAAACUGAAUUCGCCGGUAAGCUAAAUCUAACUUAUCUACCUCCAUAAGAAAUGAACGACAAAAAUGUUAAAUCGAGCUGCAGCUAUCUAACGAUUACCCUGAGGAGGAAUUCUUUUAUUUUUCAUUUUAGAGCAGAUGUGUUAGCCACCCCGACACACAAUUUCUGCCGGUCGAGACAGAAACGAGGAGCAACGGUGCACGUGGGCGGUAUCAUUGGUCCGCGAGCGAAUAAAUGAAUUAGUAAAUAACGAAUUUUAUCCCGCGGCAUUGGCCAGGAAUCCGAUAAGCUGGCAACCUGGCAUGGUGAUUUCCAGGUGGUAGGGGAUAUCUGGCGUAUAAAAAGCACGCGUUAUGCCUACCUGUCCGUCCAAUGGGGUAGCUUCAGUUCCGCCGAGCAAAGGGGGGAACCGUUUUUCGAAUGAACGAAGAAGCAGAAGAGGAAAAAAAAUGAAGAAGAAGAAGAAGAAGAGAAACAUCGAAUCGAUGCGGUUUCUUACGGGGAACGGGUUCGAGAGCGUUGGCGAAACGCGGUGUCCGCUGGGAAAAGAAAACGAAGAGGACCGACGCGAGUAGAAGACGAUACGAAGAGAGAAGGGAUGAAAAGUGCGAGAGAACGCAACCGUGUCUGAUAACUUUAGAACCCUCCCGGGUCUUUAUUGAUACUUGGACGUUUCCACUUGUCCCAUAUACAUACCGGUGCGCCCUGCGGAUACGCUUCGACCCUCGAGCGCACGCCACGGAAUGUCCAGGAUUACGUGAACCAACAGCCUCCUGAUCUUUUCCCUUUUAUUUCUUAUUUCCUAGCCCUCGUGUCGAUUGCUUCUUAUUGUAUCCGCCAUGCUUCGAUUUUUUACCUUCGUUGAUCUUGUAUCAGCAAACUGAACACCAUUUUGUUGUGAACUUUGUUGAUCCAUCUAGGUAGACACACCAUUUUAAGUGGAUAAGAUGCGCGAUCGGUGACGAGGUUCAAUGUACCUGUCAAAGCUCAUGAAAUGUCGACCCAAUUUCCCGUCCGGAACGAAAGGACCGACGAAAAAUUCGGUUUACGAUUAUUAUGCGUUGCGGCGGUGAUCUUGAUAUAAAUAGAGCGGCCGCGUGGCUGAUGGACGCCUCUCUAAAUCAUGCUAUUCCGCGCGAGAAAGCUCGUCUUCCUCGCGUGUUAUCAUGAUUCAAUGCUCUCGUGACCAGCUUCUCUGGUGAAACCUUUACUAGACUUAUGGCUACUCUAAGUACUCAUUAAAUGUUUAAAAAUUUUCCAUAAUCAUUAUUUAUAUUUCUACGUGCCAAUAAAAAAUUUAAUUUAAGAAUUUUUAUUACUAUUAACAAAAUUAUGUUAUUUAGUAGAAUACAUCUGCAUCAAUUUGUUUAAUCCUCUUAAA
Osmia bicornis bicornis is the source of this 6128-nucleotide long non-coding RNA. RefSeq lists it as uncharacterized. The transcript is spliced from 2 exons. The record is from RefSeq and is a predicted model, not a curated record. NCBI's taxonomy places the organism in Eukaryota, Metazoa, Arthropoda, Insecta, Hymenoptera, Megachilidae.